RNA transcript from Phycodurus eques (leafy seadragon), 2005 nucleotides. RefSeq lists it as uncharacterized. The transcript has 2 exons. NCBI's taxonomy places the organism in Eukaryota, Metazoa, Chordata, Actinopteri, Syngnathiformes, Syngnathidae. The record is from RefSeq and is a predicted model, not a curated record.
AAGAGCCGCCCAAAAGAGGUGGGAGGCGUCACAUGGACGUCUGGCGUCCUCCAUCUUUUUUCAAAUCUUUGGAACUUGUUUUGUUACAAUGUGUAUUCAAAGUGGUUGUGAUUAUUUUUAUUAACUACUUUUUUUCAAAAUGUUCUGUAUUGAUAGCUUUUGACAUUGGCCAAAAAGUACACCUCAUUAAAAUCGGUUGAGAAAUUAGCAAAUUACGACAGCGUCUUUUACGUCAUCAAUAUCCGACCAAAAGGGUUAGAUUUACGGCACGUGUCCUCAUGAAGCGCGACGAUGGCAUAUUCAUUCAAGUCUUUCGAACCGUUUUGAUGAAAAUGUAUCAUAAAUAGUCAGUAAUUGUUGGGUUGAUGGAUUUUCCUUAAAUUAAUACGUUUUUUAACAUACUAAAUGGCCUUUCGUUUUGGGAGGAACCCUCUUGUCUCAACUGUUCACUCUCCGACACGAGUCCGGAAGUCGUCGACAAGAGUCCCAACAACAACGCGACCAAACUUUAUUAUUCCUCCAACACGAGUACAGUAAUCGUGCAGCCUUAACAGACGUGUUUCCUAAAUGCUGUGCUGUUAGCAAGAUGGCGCCCAGGGUGAACGACGUCAUGCGUCUGUGCUGCGACAUCUCGGCUCACGAGCACAUCAAGGUGGCGGUCAAAAGCUCGGCCAAGGGAGCCAUGAUGGCGGGCGGCAGCGCCUUCGUCUGAGGCCUGGUGGGCGGACCGCCCGGCAUCGCUGUUGGUAAGAACAACUACAAACCGGUUAUCUCCAAUAAGCACAAACAAUGUCAAGCAUUGGGGGAGGGUUUUAUUUUUAUUUUUAAUAAAGAAGGCACUAAUUGGUGGGGAAGCUCUAUUCGGAAGCUGAAUUGGAGUCAUAUGCUCUGACCUCUUUGUUCUGGUCAGAACCCGAGUCGCAGCAUUCUGAAUGAGCUUCAGCUGUUUCAUGUUCUUUUUAGGGAGUCCAGUCAGAAGACCAUUACAAUAGUCAAGUGUACUUGAGAUAAAAGCAUGGAUGAGCUUCUCCUAGUCUGCUUGACACAUGCAAGCCUUCACUCUCAUGUUCUUCAGCUGAGAGAAGGCAGUUUUAGUAGUUGAUUUGAUAUGACUGUUAAAAGUCAGGCCGGAGUCUAUCAGUACACCAAGGUUUUGGACUUGGUCUGUGGUUUUUAAGAGAGUGAUUCCAGGUAUUUACUAACAGCAAUCCUCUUCACUGUCAAAAACAACAAUCUCAGUUUUGUUGUGGUUUAAUUGAAAAAAGUUUUGGCUCAUCCAGUUAUUUAUCUGUUUUAGACAGCGACACAAAAACUCCAUUGAACUGUAGUCAUCUGGAGACAGUGCUGGAUAUAACUGUGUGUCAUCUGCAUAGCUAUGCUAGUCAACAUUAAGGUUCUUAAGAAAUUUUCACCCAAGGGUAGCAUGUACAGGCUGAACAAGAGGGGUCCAAGAACUGACCCUUGAGGGACCCCAUAGGUCAUUGCCAUUCGAUGAGAUUGAACACUUCCAACGGUUUCAAAAUAACUCCUUUCCUCCAGGUAGGACCUGAAUCAUUUCAGGACUGUUCCAUUUAGUCCUACCCACGUUUCCAACCUGUUCAGCAGUAUAUUAUGAUCUACCGUAUCAAAGACCCGAAUUGACACCGUUCCCGAGUCAGUAUUCAACCUUAUAUCAUUUAGCACUUUGAUAAGAGCAGAUUCUGCACUGUGAUGAGUUCGCAAACCUGAUUGAAAUUUGUCAAAAGGUCCAUUUAAGUUCAAGAAAUUGCUGAGUUGAUUAAAAAUAACUUUCUCAACAAUCUUUGCUAUGAAAGGGAGAUUUGAGAUGGGUCUAAAGCAGGGGUGCCAAAACUUUUUGGCUCAGGGGCCACAUUGCCGUAAAAAAAUGGUCAUGCGGGCCAGCAUUAAUUUUACAUGCUACCGACGAGGGGAAUGCUUUUUUGUAUUUUUAUUUUACUGUUUUACUAUGCUGUCUGCUGCUAGGUAGAUCUUAUAACUGCCUGAC